GUCCAGGGUAGCCUAGGUAAGGCCGGUAAGUGGAAGGUCGUGGGUUCGAUUCCCAUCCCUUGACA
This 65-nucleotide transfer RNA is filed under the name Cordylochernes scorpioides. RNAcentral describes it as "tRNA-Ser". It matches the Rfam family "tRNA". Rfam says of the family: Transfer RNA (tRNA) molecules are approximately 80 nucleotides in length. The record is from RNAcentral. Lineage: Eukaryota; Metazoa; Arthropoda; Arachnida; Pseudoscorpiones; Chernetidae.